RNAcentral lists this ribosomal RNA (450 nucleotides) under uncultured bacterium. Its description in RNAcentral is "partial 16S ribosomal RNA". It matches the Rfam family "Bacterial small subunit ribosomal RNA", at positions 354 to 796 of the family's 1533-position model. The record is from RNAcentral.
GUGGGGAAUCUUCCGCAAUGGACGAAAGUCUGACGGAGCAACGCCGCGUGAGUGAAGAAGGUUUUCGGAUCGUAAAGCUCUUUCGUUAGGGACGAACGUGCUCUUUGUGAAUAAUGAGGAGUAAUGACGGUACCUAAAUAAGAAGCCACGGCUAACUACGUUCCAGCAGCCGCGGUAAUACGUAGGUGGCAAGCGUUGUCCGGUAUUAUUGUACGUAAAGCGCGCGCAGGCGGGAUAUCAAGUCUGUCUUAAAAGUGCGAGGCUCAACCUCGUGAGGGGACAGAAACUGGUAUUCUUGAGUGUCGGAGAGGAAAGUGGAAUUCCAAGUGUAGCGGUGAAAUGCGUAGAGAUUUGGAAGAGCACCAGUGGCGAAGGCGACUUUCUGGACGAUGUCUGAGGCUGAGGCGCGAAAGCUAGGGGAGCGAACGGGAUUAGAUACCCUAGUAGUCC